GAUGAACGCUGGCGGCGUGCUUAACACAUGCAAGUCGAACGAAGCAUUUAGGACAGAUUACUUCGGUUUGAAGUUCUUUAUGACUGAGUGGCGGACGGGUGAGUAACGCGUGGGUAACCUGCCUUGUACUGGGGGAUAGCAGCUGGAAACGGCUGGUAAUACCGCAUAAGCGCACAAUGUUGCAUGACAUGGUGUGAAAAACUCCGGUGGUAUAAGAUGGACCCGCGUCUGAUUAGCUAGUUGGUGAGAUAACAGCCCACCAAGGCGACGAUCGGUAGCCGACCUGAGAGGGUGACCGGCCACAUUGGGACUGAGACACGGCCCAGACUCCUACGGGAGGCAGCAGUGGGGAAUAUUGCACAAUUGAGGAAACUCUGAUGCAGCGACGCCGCGUGAGUGAAGAAGUAAUUCGUUAUGUAAAGCUCUAUCAGCAGGGAAGAUAGUGACGGUACCUGACUAAGAAGCGCCGGCUAAAUACGUG
This 481-nucleotide ribosomal RNA is filed under the name uncultured bacterium. RNAcentral describes it as "partial 16S ribosomal RNA". It matches the Rfam family "Bacterial small subunit ribosomal RNA", at positions 28 to 507 of the family's 1533-position model. The record is from RNAcentral.